Molecule: long non-coding RNA, 453 nt
Organism: Manduca sexta (tobacco hornworm)
Lineage: Eukaryota; Metazoa; Arthropoda; Insecta; Lepidoptera; Sphingidae
Exons: 3
Source: RefSeq, a predicted model, not a curated record
UACGCGUUUAUUAAUGCAGUACCUGUAUAAUUUUAUUCUUUACUUUUUUAGUGUAUAACUGUUUUCUGUUCCUUUUAAAUAAAAUAAAAUAUGUUAUUGACUCAUUAUUGCACACUGUCAUCCACUAAACUGUAUUUAAACAAAUCACAAGAUGGUUGCCGUUUAGUAAAGUUUCAAGAUGAACAAGAUUUUUAUUUGUUUAUUUCUACUCGGAGUUGUCGUCGCAUCCACCAUGGGUGCCAGCGAUUGCACGCUACCGCUCCGCAAAGGUCCGUGCCAAGGCAGAUAUCACAGCUACUACUUUGACGUAAAAUCUCGGCAGUGCAAGCCAUUCGUCUAUUCGGGAUGCGGUGGCAACGGAAACCGUUUUUACAGCAUUGACGAAUGUGAAUUUGCCUGCCACUAUUUUAUGACAUUACCAUAAAUUAAAAUAAAAAAAUUUACUUUAAAAGA